UAUUCUCGAUAUCCUUUAUCAUUUAUUAUUAUUAUUAUUAUUAUUAUUAUUAUUAUUAUUAUUGGCUAUUAUCUUUAUUUUUUAUUUUUUAUUAUUAUUAUUAUUACAUAUAAUUUUCAUAUCUGCUAUAACUGUAAUUUCAGGAUGAGGCAGCAGUAGAAUAUGCCACCUGAUGGGUUGUAUCAGAACCAUGUGCGUACCGGUAUUAAUCAGAGACAUGUAGUAAAAGAUUAUUUUUUUUUUAUUUGCCUUGGUCGAGUAUAACUUUUUGAGCUGUAAACAUUUGAUUGCCGGAGGAAAGUUCCAUGGUCGAGCGUUGCUCUCUGGGCGCCGGCUUUAUUGGAAAUCAAGUGACCAGACCGGAUUUAAAGACCUUAGUUGAGCUUUACUCUCUGGACGCUAGUCCUAUUGGUGUAAGAGAGUCGAAAGGCUGCUAGUAUUAGAGUUAGGAUUUUCCUGAGGUGACAGCUAGGUUUUCCAUCGUCUUUCUUUUGACAGCCUGGCUUCAUUCUCCUUCGGACCUAUUGUAAUUAAUUUCUACUUUUGCAUUUUGAAACUAUUUAAAAUUGUAGACUCUUCGCAAUAGUGUACCUAGCAUAUUAUAUUUGAAUUUAGUUUGUAACAAGUUAUAGAAUGUUUGCUAGUAUCCAGCUGGAGUAUUAAUCUAAUUAUGUGUAAAUUUGUGAAUGAA
Long non-coding RNA from Ricinus communis (castor bean), 691 nucleotides. RefSeq lists it as uncharacterized. The record is from RefSeq and is a predicted model, not a curated record. Lineage: Eukaryota; Viridiplantae; Streptophyta; Magnoliopsida; Malpighiales; Euphorbiaceae. The transcript is spliced from 2 exons.